Molecule: ribosomal RNA, 467 nt
Filed under: uncultured bacterium
Lineage: Bacteria
Description: bacterial SSU rRNA
Rfam family: Bacterial small subunit ribosomal RNA
Source: RNAcentral
CCAGACUCCUACGGGAGGCAGCAGUGAGGAAUAUUGGUCAAUGGCCGAGAGGCUGAACCAGCCAAGUCGCGUGAGGGAAGACGGCCCUACGGGUUGUAAACCCCUUUUGUCGGGGAGCAAAGCGAACCACGUGUGGUUCAUUGAGAGUACCCGAAGAAAAAGCAUCGGCUAACUCCGUGCCAGCAGCCGCGGUAAUACGUAGGGGGCGAGCGUUAUCCGGAUUUACUGGGUGUAAAGGGAGCGUAGACGGCGGCGCAAGUCUGAAGUGAAAGCCCGUGGCUCAACCGCGGAACCGCUUUGGAAACUGCGUGGCUGGAGUGCUGGAGAGGUAAGCGGAAUUCCUGGUGUAGCGGUGAAAUGCGUAGAUAUCAGGAGGAACACCGGUGGCGAAGGCGGCUUACUGGACAGUGACUGACGUUGAGGCUCGAAAGCGUGGGGAGCGAACAGGAUUAGAUACCCUUGUAACA